GACGAACGCUGGCGGCGUGCUUAACACAUGCAAGUCGAACGGUAAGGCCCUUCGGGGUACACGAGUGGCGAACGGGUGAGUAACACGUGGGUGAUCUGCCCUGCACUUCGGGAUAAGCCUGGGAAACUGGGUCUAAUACCGGAUAGGACUCCGGACUGCAUGGUCUGGGGUGGAAAGCUUCUGCGGUGUGGGAUGGGCCCGCGGCCUAUCAGCUUGUUGGUGGGGUGAUGGCCUACCAAGGCGACGACGGGUAGCCGGCCUGAGAGGGUGACCGGCCACACUGGGACUGAGAUACGGCCCAGACUCCUACGGGAGGCAGCAGUGGGGAAUAUUGCACAAUGGGCGCAAGCCUGAUGCAGCGACGCCGCGUGAGGGAUGACGGCCUUCGGGUUGUAAACCUCUUUCAGCACAGACGAAGCGCAAGUGACGGUAUGUGCAGAAGAAGGACCGGCCAACUACGUGCCAGCAGCCGCCGUAA
RNAcentral lists this ribosomal RNA (478 nucleotides) under uncultured bacterium. Its description in RNAcentral is "partial 16S ribosomal RNA". It matches the Rfam family "Bacterial small subunit ribosomal RNA", at positions 28 to 523 of the family's 1533-position model. The record is from RNAcentral.